UACGUAGGUGGCGAGCGUUGUCCGGAUUUACUGGGCGUAAAGAGCGCGCAGGCGGUCGUUCAAGUCGCGUGUGAAAGCCCCCGGCUCAACUGGGGAGGGUCACGCGAUACUGAUCGACUCGAAGGCAGGAGAGGGUAGUGGAAUUCCCGGUGUAGUGGUGAAAUGCGUAGAUAUCGGGAGGAACACCAGUGGCGAAGGCGACUACCCGGCCUGUUCUUGACGCUGAGGCGCGAAAGCUAGGGGAGCAAACGGG
This 253-nucleotide ribosomal RNA is filed under the name uncultured bacterium. RNAcentral's name for it is "partial 16S ribosomal RNA". It matches the Rfam family "Bacterial small subunit ribosomal RNA", at positions 524 to 776 of the family's 1533-position model. The record is from RNAcentral.